UAAGGAAUAUUGGUCAAUGGAGGCAACUCUGAACCAGCCAUGCCGCGUGCAGGAAGAAGGUCCUCUGGAUUGUAAACUGCUUUUAUCAGGGACUAAGGAAUCGCUAUACGCGUUGGUGCAGGUACCUGAGGAAUAAGCCACGGCUAACUACGUGCCAGCAGCCGCGGUAAUACGUAGGUGGCGAGCGUUGUCCGGAUUUAUUGGGUUUAAAGGGUGCGUAGGCGGUUUAAUAAGUCAGUCGUUAAAGGUAUCAGCUUAACUGGUAUAAGGCGAAUGAUACUGUUAGACUUGAAUAAUUUGGAGGUAUAGGGAAUGCGUGGUGUAGCGGUGAAAUGCAUAGAUAUCACGCGGAACGCCGAUUGCGGAGGCACUGUACUACGAAUUGAUUGACGCUGAGGCA
This 400-nucleotide ribosomal RNA is filed under the name uncultured bacterium. Its description in RNAcentral is "bacterial SSU rRNA". It matches the Rfam family "Bacterial small subunit ribosomal RNA", at positions 355 to 753 of the family's 1533-position model. The record is from RNAcentral.